RNAcentral lists this ribosomal RNA (112 nucleotides) under Octodon degus (degu). Lineage: Eukaryota; Metazoa; Chordata; Mammalia; Rodentia; Octodontidae. The record is from RNAcentral.
UCUCGGCCAUACCACCUUGAACACGCCCAAUCUCGUCUGAUCGCGGAAGCUAAGCAGGGUCAGGCCUGGUUAGUACUUAGUACUUGGAUGGGAGAAAAUGCCUCAACCAGUA